ACACACACACACCACACACACACAACACACACACACCAACACACACACACCACACACACACCACACACAUAUCCUUUACUCCACCUUUGGACACACUUAACACUAACAUCUUCCAUCAACAAUAGUCAAAGUACAUUAGUAUUCAACUCAAAUUGCAAAAACCGUAAAAAGAGUCAAACUCCAAACAACAAGGAAAGGGCAGAUAUAUUCACUCACUUCCAAACCAGAGAACAGGAAGUGCGGUGAAUCAGAUGAAAGGCCUACAUUAACCACAAGUGCUUAGUUGUUUUGUUCAGCUCUGCUCUAUAAUGACUCUUUACAAACCAAUGUUGGAUAAUGGAGGAAAAAGAAAGUAAAACGUUGUCUAACCUGUUCCCAUUAUCAUAAAUGUACAUAACUCACCACUUGAGUUCUUCCCACUCCACCGAAUGACAUCAGCACGGAUAAAUCCAAUCAAGGAUCAAUAUUGAAACAUGGUGGAUAACUUCCAGUGAUCUUUUAAAGAGUCUUUCCCGUUUGUGGUAGGCUCACAGAAUGUAAUGUGAUACAGCAAACAGGGAAUACAUCAAUAAACACAUCAUGUUGUUCGGGUUCCUCUUCAUAAAGCUUCCUGCACACAAAGUCAUUUCCAUCAUCUGUAGCUUUCUAGACACUUUAUGGAGUCGAUUUGUUUUUCUUACUUUUCGUUUUGUUUUUACUUUAUGCUCUGAUGAUGCUAACAAUGUUUGUUGUUCGACUCGUCGAUAGUCCGGGUUAUCCUACGGCAAACCUUU
Long non-coding RNA from Notothenia coriiceps (black rockcod), 773 nucleotides. RefSeq lists it as uncharacterized. NCBI's taxonomy places the organism in Eukaryota, Metazoa, Chordata, Actinopteri, Perciformes, Nototheniidae. The record is from RefSeq and is a predicted model, not a curated record. The transcript has 2 exons.